Molecule: ribosomal RNA, 460 nt
Filed under: uncultured bacterium
Lineage: Bacteria
Description: partial 16S ribosomal RNA
Rfam family: Bacterial small subunit ribosomal RNA
Source: RNAcentral
CCUACGGGUGGCAGCAGUGGGGGAUAUUGGUCAAUGGACGAGAGUCUGAACCAGCCAAGUCGCGUGAAGGAUGACGGCCCUAUGUGUGGUAAACUUCUUUUAUAGGGGAAUAAAACACGGCACGUGUGCCUUUUUGCAUGUACUUUAUGAUUAAGGCUCGGCUAACUCCGUGCCAGCAGCCGCGGUAAUCCGGAGGGUCCGAGCGUUAUCCGGAUUUACUGGGUUUAAAGGGAGCGUAGAGGGGUUGGUAAGUCAGUUGUGAAAGCUUGCGGCGCAACCGUAAAAUUGCAAUUGAUACUGGCAGGCUGGAGUACAGGUGAGGUAGGCGGAAUUCGUGGUGUAGCGGUGAAAUGCUUAGAUAUCACGAAGAACCCCGAUUGCGAAGGCAGCUUACUAAACUGUGACUGACAUUGAUGCUCGAAAGUGUGGGGAUCAAACAGGAUUAGAUACCCCUGUAGUC